UUGUUCGAUGCAUCGAUGAAUUACGAUGAUGGUAGAUGGUCAAUGUUUGAUGAUGAAACUACUUGCUUUAUGUUGAUAAGGAGUAUGUAUUUGUUUAGCUUUCGAUUCAACGGAACGUAGAAGUGAAUUAUUGCUAGGAAUCACACCUUGUGCUUUGCUUUGGUUGAAUGUUUUGCAUGUUAAAUUUGGAAUUUAUUUGUGCUCAAUCAUGCUUUGUUCGGUUUUAAAUCUCACCUUAGGACAGGUAUGAUACGAAGUGUUGAUAAUAAGUGAUUUGGGAUAUGAUUUGGGCCUUCUUUGAACCGUUUGAGCCUUUCAAGCCUACCUUUAAAUUUUUAUCCUUAGAACCUUGAUUUGAGCCUCGGAGAAAAAAGGUGUUCUUUCUUUUAGCCAAUAUGUAGAAGGUAGAAAAGUGGAGAUUUCUGAAUAAUCAUCCCUUGGAGGUCCGUCGAGAAAUUCUUAUAAGAUCUUUCUUCUUCUUCGAAAAAAA
This 490-nucleotide long non-coding RNA is filed under the name Erythranthe guttata (spotted monkey flower). Its description in RNAcentral is "long non-coding RNA (EGUT_LNC000668)". Lineage: Eukaryota; Viridiplantae; Streptophyta; Magnoliopsida; Lamiales; Phrymaceae. The record is from RNAcentral.